RNAcentral lists this transfer RNA (74 nucleotides) under Candidatus Woesearchaeota archaeon. RNAcentral describes it as "tRNA-Arg". It matches the Rfam family "tRNA". From Rfam's summary of the family: Transfer RNA (tRNA) molecules are approximately 80 nucleotides in length. The record is from RNAcentral. Lineage: Archaea; Nanobdellati; Candidatus Woesearchaeota.
GAGCCUGUAGCCUAGUCUGGAAGGGCGACAGCCUUCUAAGCUGUAGGUCGAGGGUUCAAAUCCCUCCAGGCUCG